Molecule: ribosomal RNA, 699 nt
Filed under: uncultured bacterium
Lineage: Bacteria
Description: bacterial SSU rRNA
Rfam family: Bacterial small subunit ribosomal RNA
Source: RNAcentral
CACGGAUAACAUACCGAAAGGUAUGCUAAUACGGGAUAAUAUAUUUGAGAGGCAUCUCUUAAAUAUCAAAGGUGAGCCAGUACAGGAUGGACCCGCGUCUGAUUAGCUAGUUGGUAAGGUAACGGCUUACCAAGGCAACGAUCAGUAGCCGACCUGAGAGGGUGAUCGGCCACAUUGGAACUGAGACACGGUCCAAACUCCUACGGGAGGCAGCAGUGGGGAAUAUUGCACAAUGGGCGAAAGCCUGAUGCAGCAACGCCGCGUGAGUGAUGAAGGCCUUCGGGUCGUAAAACUCUGUCCUCAAGGAAGAUAAUGACGGUACUUGAGGAGGAAGCCCCGGCUAACUACGUGCCAGCAGCCGCGGUAAUACGUAGGGGGCUAGCGUUAUCCGGAUUUACUGGGCGUAAAGGGUGCGUAGGCGGUCUUUCAAGUCAGGAGUGAAAGGCUACGGCUCAACCGUAGUAAGCUCUUGAAACUGGGAGACUUGAGUGCAGGAGAGGAGAGUGGAAUCCCUAGUGUAGCGGUGAAAUGCGUAGAUAUUAGGAGGAACACCAGUUGCGAAGGCGGCUCUCUGGACUGUAACUGACGCUGAGGCACGAAAGCGUGGGGAGCAAACAGGAUUAGAUACCCUGGUAGUCCACGCUGUAAACGAUGAGUACUAGGUGUCGGGGGUUACCCCCUUCGGUGCCGCAGCUAACG